RNAcentral lists this ribosomal RNA (468 nucleotides) under uncultured bacterium. Its description in RNAcentral is "partial 16S ribosomal RNA". It matches the Rfam family "Bacterial small subunit ribosomal RNA", at positions 28 to 507 of the family's 1533-position model. The record is from RNAcentral.
GACGAACGCUGGCGGCGUGCUUAACACAUGCAAGUCGAACGGAAAGGCCCUGCUUUUGUGGGGUGCUCGAGUGGCGAACGGGUGAGUAACACGUGAGUAACCUGCCCUUGACUGUGGGAUAACUUCAGGAAACUGGGGCUAAUACCGGAUAGAAGCUCCUGCUGCAUAGUGGGGGAUGGAAAGUUUCGGCGGUUGGGGCUGGACUCGCGGCUUAUCAGCUUGUUGGUGGGGUAGUGGCUUACCAAGGCUUUGACGGGUAGCCGGCCUGAGAGGGUGACCGGCCACCUUGGGACUGAGAUACGGCCCAGAAUCCUACGGGAGGCAGCAGGGGGGAACAUGGCAGAAUGGGGCGAAGCCUGAUGCAGCAACGCCGCGUGCGGGAUGACGGCUUUCGGGUUGUAAACCGCUUUCGCCUGUGACGAAGCGUGAGUGACGGUAAUGGGUAAAGAAGCACCGGCUAACUACGUG